Molecule: ribosomal RNA, 503 nt
Filed under: uncultured bacterium
Lineage: Bacteria
Description: partial 16S ribosomal RNA
Rfam family: Bacterial small subunit ribosomal RNA
Source: RNAcentral
GACGAACGCUGGCGGCGUGCCUAAUACAUGCAAGUAGAACGCACAGUUUAUACCGUAGCUUGCUACACCAUAGACUGUGAGUUGCGAACGGGUGAGUAACGCGUAGGUAACCUGCCUGGUAGCGGGGGAUAACUAUUGGAAACGAUAGCUAAUACCGCAUAAUAUUCAUUAUUGCAUGAUAAUUAAUUGAAAGGUGCAAUUGCACCACUACCAGCUGGACCUGCGUUGUAUUAGCUAGUAGGUGAGGUAACGGCUCACCUAGGCGAUGAUACAUAGCCGACCUGAGAGGGGGAUCGGCAAAACUGGGACUGAGACACGGCCCAGACUCCUACGGGAGGCAGCAGUAGGGAAUCUUCGGCAAUGGACGAAAGUCGGACCGAGCAACGCGGCGUGAGUGAAGAAGUUUUUCGGAUCGUAAAGCUCUGUUGUAAGAGAAGAACGGGUGUGAGGGUGGAAAGUACACACUGUGACGGUAUCUUACCAGAAGGGGACGGCUAACUACG